CCUACGGGAGGCAGCAGUGGGGAAUAUUGCACAAUGGGGGAAACCCUGAUGCAGCGACGCCGCGUGAGUGAAGAAGGAAUUCGUUACGUAAAGCUCUAUCAGCAGGGAAGAAAAUGGCGGUACCUGAGUCAGAAGCCACUGCUAACUACGUGCCAGCAGCCGCGGUAAUACGUAGGGGGCAAGCGUUAUCCGGAUUUACUGGGUGAAAAGGGAGCGGAGACGGUGCGGCAAGUCUGGAGUGAAAUGCCGCAGCUGAACUGCGGAACUGCUUUGGAAACUGGCGAACUAGAGUGCGGGAGGGGUAAGCAGAAUUCCUGGUGUAGCGGUGAAAUGCGUAGAGAUUAGGAGGAACACCGGUGGCGAAGGCGGCUUACUGGACCGUAACUGACGUUGAGGCUCGAAAGCGUGGGGAGCAAACAGGAUUAGAUACCCCUGUAGUC
RNAcentral lists this ribosomal RNA (440 nucleotides) under uncultured bacterium. RNAcentral describes it as "partial 16S ribosomal RNA". It matches the Rfam family "Bacterial small subunit ribosomal RNA", at positions 338 to 795 of the family's 1533-position model. The record is from RNAcentral.